This 1749-nucleotide unclassified non-coding RNA is filed under the name Sipha flava (yellow sugarcane aphid). RNAcentral describes it as "katanin p60 ATPase-containing subunit A-like 2, transcript variant X1". The record is from RNAcentral. Lineage: Eukaryota; Metazoa; Arthropoda; Insecta; Hemiptera; Aphididae.
AUGAUAAAUUACGAUUCAGUUAACAAUGCAAUGCACCAAGGACGUGAUUAUGAAAAAAAAAAGAAACAAGAAAGAAAAAAGUCAAUUCUUUACUUAAUAGAGAAUUUUUUAAGAACAGAAGGGUACACAACAACGGCAUCGAGUUUAGUAGAAGAAGCUUUUCUAAAUACAAAUCAUCAUGUAGUUUGCGAUAAUAUAGAUUUAGAUACCAUUCUCAUUGAGUACGAAAACUAUUAUUAUUUACGUUAUCAAAAAAAACCAAAAAUUAGUAAACCAUUGGAUAUUGCUAAGACUAGCACUACUUUUGCUAUAAAGAAUAAAACCAAAACUACAAAAAAAACUAACCAAAGUCCAAGUCAAUACUCUCAAGACAAUCAAUCACUAGACACGAAUUUUAUAACAAUAACUCCUUUAAAUAAUUCGUGCGUUGAAACUUUAGAAAAUGAAUAUUCUCUACCUUCUAUUGAUCUCGAUUAUUGGAAAGACGAAUGGAAAGUUUACGCCGAAAUUAUUUCAAAAGAUAUUUUAAUGACAAACCCCAAUGUGAAAUGGUCUGACAUUAAAGGACUUUCAACGCCUAAAAAACUAUUAGAUGAAGCCAUCGUAUUGCCAACAAAAUAUCCAGAUUUAUUUACUGGACUAUGUACCCCAUGGACUGCAAUGUUAUUUUAUGGUCCUCCUGGAACAGGAAAAACAUUACUUGCUAAAGCGGUUGCGACGGAGUGUAAUACUACAUUCUUUAACAUUACACCGAGUACACUAGUUACAAAAUGGAGAGGAGAUUCUGAAAAACUCAUUAAAGUUAUGUUCGAAAUGGCAGAACAUAUGUCACCUAGUACAAUUUUCAUUGACGAGUUAGAUACAAUAGCAUCAAAACGUAUUGACCACGAAGCUUCUCGUAGGCUAACAUCUCAAAUCUUAAUACACAUGGAUGGUCUGUCAAGUUCAAAAAAAAGAAUAUUUUUGCUAGCCACAUCAAAUCACCCUUGGGAAUUAGAUCCUGCGAUAUUUCGUCGUCUUGAAAAACGUAUAUUUAUUGACUUACCAGAUGUCCAAGCUCGAAAAGAUAUGUUUGAAUAUUAUUUGUCAGAAAUGUUACAAAAAAACAAGUACAUUAAAUGUAAAAUAGAUAGUGACAGUCUAGCACAAAAAACAAACGGUUAUUCUGGUUCAGAUAUAAAACUUAUAUGUAAAGAAACUGCAAUGCACGCUAUGCGUUUAAUGUUUAAUGUUUUGGAAAAUAAAUCAAGUAAUCAUUUCAACUGUAUAAUAACUAAUAACGAAGUCAACAAUACAAUUUCUAAAACUAAGCCAUCAACUAACGAUACAGAUAAUAAUAAAUAUAAAAUUUGGCAAUCACAAUAUGCAUCAUAUUAAAUACUUAUAUAACUUAUACUAUUGUUAUUUGUAUUUAUUAAUAAUAAUUGGGUAAACUACAGUCCGGCGAUACAACAAAUAUUGUUAAUAAUUUAAUACUGCGCACGUUGGUAUAGUAAGAAUAUUAACCAUAAAAGGAACCUAAUUACAGUGUAUAUGCAGUGCCAGAUCUACAAAUUUUGUUGCCCAGGGUGCUACCGUAAUAUUAGCACCAAUAAAUAAUUCAUCAUAAAUGAACAAUCAACAUUACAUAUCAUAGGUACGUAGCGUAGCGUUCUGUGUGGUUUCAGCAUUACUUAUGAACAUAGUUGGUUCUCUACUCUUAUUGACAACUACAUAAAUAUUAGAAUACAUUAAUAUGUCAAAUAUGUU